This 391-nucleotide ribosomal RNA is filed under the name uncultured bacterium. Its description in RNAcentral is "partial 16S ribosomal RNA". It matches the Rfam family "Bacterial small subunit ribosomal RNA", at positions 523 to 918 of the family's 1533-position model. The record is from RNAcentral.
AUACGUAGGUGACAAGCGUUAUCCGGAUUUACUGGGCGUAAAGGGCGUGUAGGCGGUCUUGCAAGUCAGAAGUGAAAUUCCUGAGCUCAACUCGGGCGCUGCUUCUGAAACUGCAGGACUUGAGUGCUGGAGGGGAUAGCGGAAUUCCUAGUGGAGCGGUAAAAUGCGCAGAUAUUAGGAAGAACACCGGUGGCGAAGGCGACUAUCUGGACGGUAACUCACGCUGAGGCGCGAAAGCUGGGGGAGCACACAGGAUUAGACACCCUGGUAGUCCACGCCGUAAACGACGAGCACUAAGUGUCGGAUGAAUUUUCGGCGCUGCAGUUAACACAAUAAGUGCUCCGCCUGGGGCGUACGGUCUCAAGACUGCAACUCAAAGGAAUUGACGGUG